GACGAACGCUGGCGGCGUGCUUAACACAUGCAAGUCGAACGGAAAGGCCCUGCUUUUGUGGGGUGCUCGAGUGGCGAACGGGUGAGUAACACGUGAGUAACCUGCCCUUGACUUUGGGAUAACUUCAGGAAACUGGGGCUAAUACCGGAUAGGAGCUCCUGCUGCAUGGUGGGGGUUGGAAAGUUUCGGCGGUUGGGGCUGGACUCGCGGCUUAUCAGCUUGUUGGUGGGGUAGUGGCUUACCAAGGCUUUGACGGGUAGCCGGCCUGAGAGCGUGACCGGCCACCUUGGGACUGCGAGACGGCCCAGACUCCUACGGGAGGCAGCAGUGGGGAAUAUUGCACAAUGGGCGGGAGCCUGAUGCAGCAACGCCCCGUGCGGGAUGACGGCCUUCGGGUUGUAAACCGCUUUCGCCUGUGACGAAGCGGGAGUGACGGUAAUGGGUAAAGAAGCACCGGCUAACUACGUG
This 468-nucleotide ribosomal RNA is filed under the name uncultured bacterium. Its description in RNAcentral is "partial 16S ribosomal RNA". It matches the Rfam family "Bacterial small subunit ribosomal RNA", at positions 28 to 507 of the family's 1533-position model. The record is from RNAcentral.